GGGUCAGUAGGUUGGUCGUGCCACCGGUACGUACUGGUCUCACUGAUUCCUCCCUCCUGAAGAACCGUAAUGCCAUUAAUUUGGUGUUGCGGGGAAACAGGACUGUUACUUUGAAAAAAUUAGAGUGUUUAAAGCAAGCUAACGCUUGAAUACAUUAGCAUGGAAUAAUGAAAUAGGACGAUCGAUCCUAUUUGUUGGUUUCUAGGAUUGACGUA
Molecule: ribosomal RNA, 215 nt
Filed under: Glomeromycotina sp.
Lineage: Eukaryota; Fungi; Glomeromycota
Description: partial small subunit ribosomal RNA
Rfam family: Eukaryotic small subunit ribosomal RNA (bases 75-215)
Source: RNAcentral